UUGGGUCUGAGAGUGCGGUACUGAGGUUCUGCAGUUAGACUCUUCUCUGAAAUUACCAAAUGAAGCUACAGCCGGUUUUAACUUGCCAACGCGGUUGGCGUAGAUUACAGCGCGGUUGCCAUGGAUCACAACGUAGUUACUGGCGCUUUCUACGUAGUUGCUACAGACUCCCGAACGAGUCCGGCAGAUCCAAUACAGAAACAAAUCAGUGUAAAAUAAUUAGUUGGUCGUUCCAGAUACUUCGAGUGAUGAAAUGACCCACCUUGUGAAACACAAUGGCAUCUGAACAUAUCCAGCUCCUGCGGAGACCCCUUCCCCCUAAAAAACUCCAACCCAUCCUCAAACCAUUAGCGAAGACCGUUCUCUCAGAUGCGAGGAUGGAAUCCAUUCCUUCGGGAGUCCACAAAAGCACAGAAGGAAGUGACUGGAGUUCCCGUGAUGACCCUCUGUGGGAUUUUCAUCCAGAUCUGCCCCGCAC
This is a long non-coding RNA of Colossoma macropomum (tambaqui), 478 nucleotides long. RefSeq lists it as uncharacterized. NCBI's taxonomy places the organism in Eukaryota, Metazoa, Chordata, Actinopteri, Characiformes, Serrasalmidae. The record is from RefSeq and is a predicted model, not a curated record. The transcript is spliced from 3 exons.